Molecule: long non-coding RNA, 664 nt
Filed under: Mytilus galloprovincialis (Mediterranean mussel)
Lineage: Eukaryota; Metazoa; Mollusca; Bivalvia; Mytilida; Mytilidae
Source: RNAcentral
AUCGAUCUGUCGCCAUACUAAUUAUGCAUAUUUCAAUCCCGGAAGUCACUCAGAACGAGGCUGUGACGUCAGUGGUUACAUCAAUCAUAUUUGACUGACGGGUGUAAAGGCAUAAUAAGCGCAAUUUCAUAUUCGAAUAUCUUCCAACAAAACCCAUAACAGUGAUUAAAAAUGGUUCUGUGUUCUGCCAGUUGAUGCAACAAUAGGCAUAAGGACAAUUUGAUAAAAAAAAAAUCCGUUUUCUGAGUAACCCGCAGACUAGUCCCAGGAAGAGAUAGGACUUCCUACCAAACACUAGUCAUAGACUUUGUUCCUCCCACUUUACUAAUGCAUGUUACGAUCGUGACCCAGAAGUUAUGAGGAAUCUCGAGGGAUGUCCUACCAUGAAGCCAAAACUUCGUCCAAAUGCGGUACCUGACAUUCCAUUGACACAACCAACAACAGCUGAGCCCCACCUAAGCGGGGAGCUUGUGAGAAGCGGAGAAUGGCUGAGGGAGAAAAAAAUCUUUUUCUUCGCAAAUAUUUUUUGCGUCCCUUAUUAAUAAUUUUUUAAUAGUUUAGUCAUAUUUGUGUAUAAUUCUAUAGCCAAAUAUAUCUCAAUGUUUAAAAUUUGGUAUUGUGUACCUCCUGCGUGUACCUCACUACCUGUUCACGUGUGCAGGUG